UACAGAGGUCUCAAGCGUUGUUCGGAUUCAUUGGGCGUAAAGGGUGUGUAGGUGGCGCCGUAAGUCGGGUGUGAAAUCUCGGGGCUUAACUCCGAAACUGCAUUCGAUACUGCGGUGCUUGAGGACUGGAGAGGAGACUGGAAUUCAUGGUGUAGCAGUGAAAUGCGUAGAGAUCAUGAGGAAGACCAGUGGCGAAGGCGGGUCUCUGGACAGUUCCUGACGCUGAAGCACGAAGGCCAGGGGAGCAAACGGG
RNAcentral lists this ribosomal RNA (253 nucleotides) under uncultured bacterium. RNAcentral's name for it is "partial 16S ribosomal RNA". It matches the Rfam family "Bacterial small subunit ribosomal RNA", at positions 524 to 776 of the family's 1533-position model. The record is from RNAcentral.